Molecule: ribosomal RNA, 402 nt
Filed under: uncultured prokaryote
Description: bacterial SSU rRNA
Rfam family: Bacterial small subunit ribosomal RNA
Source: RNAcentral
UGGGGAAUAUUGCACAAUGGGGGAAACCCUGAUGCAGCGACGCCGCGUGGAGGAUGACGGCCUUCGGGUUGUAAACUCCUUUUGUCGGGGACAAUGGUGAUGGUACCCGACGAAUAAGCCACGGCUAACUCUGUGCCAGCAGCCGCGGUAAGACAGAGGUGGCGAGCGUUGUUCGGAAUUACUGGGCUUAAAGGGCGCGUAGGCGGUGGUGUAAGUCUAGGGUGGAAUGCUACAGCUCAACUGUAGAGCUGCCUUGGAAACUGCAUUACUUGAGUCGGUGAGGGGAAGGUGGAAUUCCAGGUGUAGCGGUGAAAUGCGUAGAUAUCUGGAGGAAGGUCUGUGGCGAAGGCGACCUUCUGGCACUUGACUGACGCUGAGGUGCGAAAGCGUGGGGAGCAAACA